RNAcentral lists this ribosomal RNA (366 nucleotides) under uncultured organism. RNAcentral describes it as "bacterial SSU rRNA". It matches the Rfam family "Bacterial small subunit ribosomal RNA", at positions 526 to 896 of the family's 1533-position model. The record is from RNAcentral.
CGGAGGAUCCAAGCGUUAUCCGGAAUCAUUGGGUUUAAAGGGUCCGUAGGCGGUUUAGUAAGUCAGUGGUGAAAGCCCAUCGCUCAACGGUGGAACGGCCAUUGAUACUGCUAGACUUGAAUUAUUAGGAAGUAACUAGAAUAUGUAGUGUAGCGGUGAAAUGCCUAGAGAUUACAUGGAAUACCAAUUGCGAAGGCAGGUUACUACUAAUUGAUUGACGCUGAUGGACGAAAGCGUGGGUAGCGAACAGGAUUAGAUACCCUGGUAGUCCACGCCGUAAACGAUGGAUACUAGCUGUUGGGAGCGAUCUCAGUGGCUAAGCGAAAGUGAUAAGUAUCCCACCUGGGGAGUACGUUCGCAAGAAUG